Molecule: ribosomal RNA, 5395 nt
Filed under: Triticum aestivum (bread wheat)
Lineage: Eukaryota; Viridiplantae; Streptophyta; Magnoliopsida; Poales; Poaceae
Description: partial small subunit ribosomal RNA
Source: RNAcentral
UUAUUAACAUCGGGGGCUCAAUAAAGAACUACACGUUAAGGACUGCCGCUGACCGUUUGUUUCGACUUAUUAGGAGUGAAAACGUGGAACACACCAGCAUCUUAGUAGUUGCAAGGCCCGUUUCGACCAGUGAGUCUGAGGACGUUUACACUAUUAACGACUCGAAUAGAACUUGUUUUUGGUGUGUUUUUCAGUCUCGUCGCAAUCUAGCAGGUUCGGAGGUUCGUAGAAGUAUGGUAAGAGGAAGAGAAGUAACCGAGGUAUACUUUCGUCGAGGAAGGAAAACUAGUAUCCCACCUUCUUCAGACUUAUCCAUACUGAGGGGAGGGUCAAAAGCAGGAGGACAGUAACCAAACAAAUACGUUUAGGCUACUGGCGGAAUGAGGGCUUUUUAGUGAGUUGCGACCACUAUUCGAGCAAAGCUCGCCGCCGUAGAAACGAGAACCGAAGAAGUGGGGCCGUUUGAGUUGACGCCUGUGCAUGUAGCCGUAUACCAUGUUGUUCUAGGGACUCGCGUGAAUACACACCCAGCGAUUGGCGCUGUUCGGCUAGUUCUUACCAAGAGGACCCUUCGACCGAUACUCGUCGCUGAGACUGGAACAGAACAGACUGAGGGUUCCGGCUUGAGAUACCUGUUGGUGUUUGUUGAAGUGUAGGCGUUGGUGGCCUUGACGACGAUAUGACAAACUAAGGCCUUUGAACCAGUAGGCCAACGGCUUACCGUGUCUGUAUACCGUCUCGAAGGUAAUGGGCUGACUGUGGCGGGAGGGACUGUACCAAAAUGGUGACUCGUGUUUACUACCAUAGAACUACGCGGAGUAACGAACCUCCCGGGGACUACUGGGCCGGAGGUCGCUGAUGAGGUACCCACCACUGAGAUCGAGUCUGGAAGUCCAACAUUAGACCUUACCCUGCUCUGGCAUAACCGCAUCUAGACGCACCCUACCCAGUAACCAGAGACGGGACAUAGUUUCGUUGUGACCGAAGUAGCAUUGACUUUGUUAACAGCUGUCUCCCCCACUCAAUAUGUACUGUAAGUGGCAGAGACUCCCGAGUGGUUCGUACGCGUACUGUGACCUGAUGUUUCCGUGAAAAUUUAAAGACCAGACCUUGUCGUUGAGCAGUAGUACCCUCCGAAAGUAUCUCGUAGGAUCAGGAUAGACACUUGCGAUGCGGAUAACGCCUGGUAAACCGAUGACACUACGGCGACUUUGUCAAGGCUUUACGUUGACGGAGUCACCCAAACUCGGACUACCGCAGUUGAAGAGGUCUCCUACAGCCUCUUUCCUCCUAGACUUUACACCAUAACUGUUAUUAAAGAGCUGGGACUCUCCAUACUUCUGUGGACUGUUCAAGAACAUACAGUCCUUGUCUUCAAAACUGGUUACGUGUCUUCUCACGUCUGCGUUAACGAGAACGAGGCGUAUACGAAUACGAUUGGACUCUUUACCUUCACGAAUACGAUUGGACUUUUUACCUUCACCCCGACGCCUGGUCAGUUCCACGAAUUAAACCAAUCCUCCUGAACAGCUGUGCCCCUUUAAAGCACUACCACCACCACUCUUGGACAUGGAGGCGGAACGGUCAAGUUGUCAACUGUUCCUCUCAUUCCAUAACUUCUAAUAUGAGGGUUAUCACCGAUCAGACGACUAUGAGCGUAGGUAGACGGAACACACCUAUACGUUCAGUUCUCCAUUUGCUGCUUAGUUCCUCUAAUUCUUGUUUGUAUGCGGUGUCGUGAACGUUUUAAGGUUCAACUUGCUUGAACUCUUACUUUCAUAUCUGGAAGGUAUAUAAACGAAACUUCUGUAACAAUGACGUUGUCUGUUAAAGAGUCUGAUGUUUUACGAACCCUUUCCACCGAAACCUUUUCAAAUGUUCCCUGAUAAUCCUCCACCACCAUUCCUUCAACGACAGUUUUCCGAAUCAUUUUCAAGGCCGGUUCCCCGGCUCCUCAAGUCUUUACUUCAACAAGAUUAACGGUUUAAUGUCGUAUCUUUGAAUCAAUCUGAAGAACCAAUGACGUGAAUACUUCUACUCUUCAAUAACUAUAUACUUAUGAAUGGAUUGUUUUCGAACCUACGGAAGGAAAAACUACGUUGUUCUUUAAGACACGAACUAACCGAAUGGGCCAAGUUCCAUUAAUUUCCCUAUCGUUCUCCCGAAGAAAUAGAGGUGGUUCUAAGUUCCAAUUGUUAUUAAGUAUCCCUAGAGUUUCGUUCGUUACAGAACAAUCUACGUCUUUACUUGGGAUUUUAUAGUCUAAAACCAUACCGUUCCUAUAAACCUCCUUUACUCGUUGUUCGCUUGUGAUAGGUGCAACAACCCUGUAUACCAAUGUACAGAGGACUUAUACGUUACCUUCCAAGGAAAAGACAGUUCAGACUGUGAAUAUCGAAACCGCAAGAUGACAACCUCUAACAUUCACCCAGUUUCUAGUCAAGUAGGGUAAAGUACUGCCUGAAAUGUUCGGAAUAUCGAAUGCGGACCUCGAAUACCUUUCUACCUUUACGUUCUCUUAACCACCUGAGCAGGUAACACCUCUUGACAGGUGAAGUACUUCAAGAUGCUACACAAGUAUAUCCAGAGAACACACAAGUUCUGUUAGGUUUACGGUCCGGCGAGUACAGUAGGUGACACAAGUACGAUCUUUUACUUUGCCGAGACGAAGGAUGAGGCUUCCUCGGAGAUAUGAAAUCCGUUGCCAUACUACUCCAACUUCUGGUUUCUCUAUGGUACCCUUAUUGGGACUUAUUCUACUGAUAGUGAUACGUUCUCCCUGCAAUCUACAAAUUAAGUAACAAGAGGAAAAAACAUUAGAAGAGGUCAAACAUGUCCACUUGUCAAGUCGUUAAGUACAAGGAUACCUGUUUAUUUAGGUAACUCAUAUAACAUUAGGACCAGCACCAAAUAAAAGUAUCUACCAAUGGUACAAACCUUAAAGGGAUAAAACGAGUAUACAAAGAGUGGAACGGUUGACCUUCUCCGAUGGACUAGUACACGCCUAGUGACGAAUGUAAACAAAAUGGAAGUACUUAAAAGACAUAGGUCGAAGUAGUCAAUCAGUUACCCAGACUUUGAGACUUAACGAUUAAACCAUUGUUCCGACGAUCAUUAACAUACAAGAGAAACUCGACCGUAGAAUCACAUUUUAGGUAAAAAAUAGAAUACGACGAUCACCGUUCGUUCGAUCUAAAUGUACGGACUUCAGACUGUUAAUAUAAAAUAAAUAAGUCCAUCUCACCCGUUUUGAAGUCCGUACCUCUUGAUAACUUUCAAGUCCAAGUUGGACUGGUCUUUUCAUUCUUUUUUCACCCCGAAGACACUUAUAGAGUCAUAGAUAGUCUUUCCAUCUUUCCAGGUAAAUUCACUAGAACUUCGCCAUUCUGGUCUUAUUUAACGGUCGGAUUGAAUAGGGCUUAGUAUGUAUGGAGGAGACUUCAAAGUCUGUAGUGUAAUUUUAUAAAUCGGUGAUGUAGACGUGGUGGAGAAAGUAUCAAAGUAGUAACUCUAUCAUAACAAACGCGAAGUUUUGUUAUUAGAACUUCACGCGCACGUAUGACAGUUAACACUACCGGACCAUUGAAAUCCUAAAAAAAAAGAAAAGUUUUCUGCCCGGAAGUCAUAUAGGUACCACGACGGCCUCUUACUUCUAUUUCCACGACUUAAACUGACACCCAGAGGCGUGCUAGACUACAACAACUUGUAACAGAAAGUACAACGAAAUACUAAAGCUGGUAAUGUGGUUGAAUCCCACAAACUCGACGUAACACCAUCGAAAGUAACUUCCACUUUUGUCUCAAUUUAAGGUUCCAAUGGUAAUCAAGAAAAACACCGUUCUUUGUCAGUUCAAGAGACUGUUCAUGUGUCCGAAGCAAACAGGGUUAUUGUCCUGUUAGUCUCCAAGUUGAAAUAUAUAGGUACAGUGUCUUUUUUAACCACACUACUCCUCUUUAAUUAAUAUAUUAAGUAUUAUAAAAUAUAGUUACGGUGUCUUUUUUGUCCUGUACAGCGGACUUAUACGGAACCUUCCGUAAAAGAGACAGUCCAGGCUGUGUAUAUCGAUACCCUAGAACGAUGACCUCUAACAUUCACCCGACUUCUAGUCGAGUGGAAUGGUAUAAUACUCCCUAAAGGGUUUGCAAUAUCUAAUGUAUUCAUGUUGUGUUGCUUAUUUUUAUGAUAUUGACAAAUACGAGCUGGUACAAAGUCCGUACCUUGAAUGACUUUCUUCCUUUUAGCCCCUAAAGGACCUCUGUCACGAAGACUUCUCGACAAAUGACGUAGUUCACAGCGACACGUAAGUAUAAACCGAGAACACACGGUCCGGUGAGUACACAACCAGCACAGAUACGACCUGUCACUCCGGCACGGUGAGUGUUGUGGUCUCGUCGGAAACAUAAAACAACCUUCCUCCGUACUUCGCCUUCUUCGUUCCCUCCUGAGACAAUUGUUCCGUUCGGACUGCUGCGAUCGUCCCGCAACCUACGAAUAAUAAGGAACGUCACUCCAUUAGACACACGGGACCUUGUAGUUUCCCUUCGUCUAAUACUAAUUGAAGGUUCACCCGAAAUCACCGGUUGACGACCACCUCUUAGGAGAAAGGGCAACUAUAGCACAGGAGGAGCUUACCAACCAGAUUUUAAUUAUGACUACGAACGAGACUAGGUAACUGACGAGUUAGAACAAAGCCACGAUAGCAAGCCUUGUCGCGGCCAACCGGCCAAGAACGACGAACCUGAGUAACGGGUCAUACCUUUUGACGACCUUCAAGUCGAAGUAGGAGUUGCUUUUCAGUCUUUUCACCCCGAAGGAACUUAGAGGGUCACAGAUAGUCUUUCCUUCGUCUCAGUUCAAGAUACUGUUGACUGUUCACGUGUUCGAAGAAAACGGGGUUCUUGUCCUGUUAGUCUCCAAGUUGAAAUGUAGGUACGGUGUCCUUUUAAACGCCCGGUUCCUCUUUAAUUCAUUAUGAUGUAAAAUAUAUAGAGAAGGUUCAUGAAAUAACGUUAGAGGAAUUUCUAGUUAGCUAAAAUACGGUUGGUAGGGUGAUGCUACAAGUCAAAGGAUAAUUUUUUUAUUUUUGACCACGAAAUGAGAAAAGUAAAGUCGUCAGUAGGUGUGUCUAUCUGAGGCGUUCUGGAUUUUCACAUAACCUUUAACCACGCUAUGGUGGUUUUGCAUUUCGUCUCCUCUACUCCAUAAUCGAACAACGAUCCCGUUUCAGAUCAAAGUCACGUUCUGAUGUCAACUCUAAGUCAGCAAAGAGCCGCACAGCUUGAAUGGACUUAAAGGCACGGUGCCAAGCGAAAGCCAACUUAAAGUAGCGAGUAUGGUCUUCUCUGUACAUACAUCACGAGGACGUCGACCCUCUCGAGACAACUCAAGUAGAAAG